GGAGGGUGCAAGCAUUAAUCGGAUUUAUUGGGCGUAAAGGGCGCGUAGGUGGUAUAUCAAGUCAUAUGUGAAAUUCCAAGGCUCAACCUUGGAGCUGCAUGUGAAACUGAUAUUCUAGAGGUAAGGCGGAGAAAACGGAAUUUCCCGUGUAGCGGUGAAAUGCGUGGAUAUGGGAAGGAACACCGGUGGCGAAGGCGGUUUUCUAGCCUUUACCUGACACUGAGGCGCGAAAGCGAGGGGAGCAAACAGGGAUUAGAUACCCUGGUAGUCCUCGCUGUAAACGUUGCAUACUUGAUGUGAUUGGGCUCAACCCCCCCCCCAAUUGUGUCGGAGCUAACGCGAUAAGUAUGCCGCCUGGGAGUACGCUCGCAAGGGUG
This 377-nucleotide ribosomal RNA is filed under the name uncultured organism. Its description in RNAcentral is "partial 16S ribosomal RNA". It matches the Rfam family "Bacterial small subunit ribosomal RNA", at positions 527 to 896 of the family's 1533-position model. The record is from RNAcentral.